RNAcentral lists this ribosomal RNA (499 nucleotides) under uncultured bacterium. RNAcentral's name for it is "partial 16S ribosomal RNA". It matches the Rfam family "Bacterial small subunit ribosomal RNA", at positions 29 to 523 of the family's 1533-position model. The record is from RNAcentral.
AUUGAACGCUGGCGGAAUGCUUUACACAUGCAAGUCGAACGGCAGCACGGACUUCGGUCUGGUGGCGAGUGGCGAACGGGUGAGUAAUACAUCGGAACGUGCCCAGUCGUGGGGGAUAACGUAGCGAAAGCUACGCUAAUACCGCAUACGAUCUAAGGAUGAAAGCGGGGGACCGUAAGGCCUCGCGCGAUUGGAGCGGCCGAUGGCAGAUAGGUAGUUGGUGGGGUAAAGGCCGACCAAGCAGACGAUCUGAAGCUGGUCUGAGGGGACGACCAGCCACACUGGGACAGAGACACAGCACAGACGCCUACGGGAGGCAGCAGGGGGGAAGUUUGGACAAUGGGCGCAAGCCUGAUCCAGCCAUUCCGCGUGCAGGAUGAAGGCCCUCGGGUUGUAAACUGCUUUUGUACGGAACGAAAAGGCUCUGGUUAAUACCUGGGGCUCAUGACGGUACCGUAAGAAUAAGCACCGGCUAACUACGUGCCAGCCGCCGCCGUAA